UACGGAGGGCGCAAUCGUUGUUCGGAAUUACUGGGCGUAAAGCGCGUGUAGGCGGCUUGGCAAGUCGGCUGUGAAAGCCCGGGGCUCAACCCCGGAGGGUCAGCCGAAACUGCCUCGCUCGAGUCCCGGAGAGGGUGGCGGAAUUUCCGGUGUAGAGGUGAAAUUCGUAGAUAUCGGAAGGAACACCAGUGGCGAAGGCGGCCACCUGGACGGUGACUGACGCUGAGACGCGAAAGCGUGGGGAGAAAACAGG
This 253-nucleotide ribosomal RNA is filed under the name uncultured bacterium. RNAcentral's name for it is "partial 16S ribosomal RNA". It matches the Rfam family "Bacterial small subunit ribosomal RNA", at positions 524 to 776 of the family's 1533-position model. The record is from RNAcentral.